Nematostella vectensis (starlet sea anemone) is the source of this 1199-nucleotide RNA transcript. RefSeq lists it as uncharacterized. The record is from RefSeq and is a predicted model, not a curated record. NCBI's taxonomy places the organism in Eukaryota, Metazoa, Cnidaria, Anthozoa, Actiniaria, Edwardsiidae. The transcript is spliced from 4 exons.
AAAACUAAUAGAAAAAAGCAAAAUUAAAAGCAAAUAUCAUAAGCUAUAGGUAAGUAAAUGAAUGUUAAACAGUUUAAAGUGAAAAAGCAUGGAAAUAGAAGCUGAAGGUUUUCUAAAACAUAAUUUGGUGACAUGUACAAGCACAAACCUGUCAACUAAACAUUAUGGAGGGAUCAUGUUACUAGAAUUUUGACCUAGAGGAAGAAAACAAUCUUAAACACACUCUAGUGUGUGUCUGCAGAUCUGGGUGUGCUGUCAUACAACCUUUUGAAGGUCGUCACGAAACCUCGCGCGCCUAUAAGUCACACGCGCUAGUAGCUACCAACAGUCACUCCUCACUGCGACCCUCAACACAGACAAUAUAACGGUAAGUAAUAUAAGCGUUUAUAAGUAUCUCAACAUGGCGGACAUGGAUAUGUUAGCAGAUCAUUUGCCCGACUCUCACUGGCAGCGUAGUAAAGGCGAGGAAAGCGACUUCAAGUCCUACAGGCUAGCGCGGCAUGUCGAUAAAGGUUCCGGUGCGUUUCUGUAUUUAGCACAGCAACUUGAGGGAGAUGACAACAUCUAUCAACUGAACAUCACCGAUACGAAAGGAGGAGACCCUUUAAGGGAUCUAAAUAUCGCACAACUCAAAGUCAAGGAUGGCAACACAAUCAUAGGAAUCUUAUGCGAUAACGGUGAAUGUAUGCUCAGAAAGGAAUGAUCGGAACCGUGCUACAUUGGACUGGGAUUUGGAUUGUAUGGUUAUGCAGAUAAAUUAAUGGUACACUGAAAAGAGAGACGCGUAGGAUUUAGGGAUUAUCUCAUCGUACUGAACUGGAGAAAGAACGCUAGUUUGUUUUUGGGCGCAAAAAUGGGGAAGCCACUGCUGGAAAAUGGAAGCCAUUUGAAGGAUGAAAGCCAUUUAAGUAUUGGAAAGCAAUCAACAUCGUGCGGCACUUAUUGUUCUUAGCUCCUUGUAUCCAAUCAGCAGCGGUUAUGAAGUGGGUAGCCACGGAAUGCCUAGACCAGCGAAUGGGCCUCCGCAUUCUUACGCCGAGGGAUUAUAUCUCUUCUAAUGACUGGUAAAUACUACCGAGUGCACGAGAGCCUUUUUAAAGGUGUAACUUUCCAGCGUGUGUCUUAUCUUAGUAAUCAAGUAGCUUAUACGAUAAAAAUAAAAGUCAAUAAAAACCCAGAAACCCGCGUUUAGAUGGCAA